UUUUUUUCCUCAUUUGCUUCCUGCUCCUUCAUUAAACUCUGUUCCCAGACAGCCGGGAAGAGCAGCCAGCCAGUUCAACACGGUUCCCACUCACCGUGCCCAGAGCCAGGCUACACAUAUAGCAGUUGCCCACGUUACUGACAAGGGAUGAACAAAUGUCAGAUGUGGCGGUCAGAUGGGAUGAUGCCAGAGCUGUGACUUGGUCCAUCAGAAGGGUACUGUCCAAGGAACAUUUUGAAAGAUAUUGUACAUGACCUGUCAGUUCUGAAAUAUGGGUGCAGUGUUAAUGAGUGUGCUUAAGUAAGCCCGGCCCCUACGGAUGCUUUCUCUCACCUUGGACAUUGGAUGGGACUGCGUAUGAGCAUCUCCCAAAGGAAAAGAUUGAAGACAAAGCGCCAGUCUCCUGGUGAGAUCUGCUGGGAAUACCAACUACUCUCGUUACUGAGCGUGCAUGGCUGGUGUCAGCUGGCUUCCUGAUGCCAACAGAAGACGGAGAAAUAAGCCAGGGUAUACCUUCUAUGACCUUCAAGACACUGGGCACUUAGACCCCCGUCAUUAGAGGGCUGUGCUGAAGAAGACAUGCUCCUACUUCAGUUGGUGGGAGCAGCACCUUCUCUUCCAGGGUUUGACACUCUUUGAAUGUGAUCUGCUUCCAGCUGACAUUUCCCAACUUGGGUUUUGUUUGAGAAACCGAAAUCACUUAACACUGCUACUAGCUCGUUGUUUCUGACCUCACUUUCACAGUGGAAUUUCAUUUUGUCCUUCAGUCCUGUGGCUUGCCUUAAUCUGCAGAUAUAGCUUUACAAUGUUUAUUCCUUAAAAAAGAUCCCAAAAAACAGUGACCUGGAGUUUAGCCAGCUGUAGCCAGACUCUGAGUUUGGCUUUGUGUCCGUAAGCCACAGUUGGGAGAAAUGCAAGAAAUGGCCAAAUGGAAUAAAACAAAUGAUCUAUUUA
Cavia porcellus (domestic guinea pig) is the source of this 954-nucleotide long non-coding RNA. RefSeq lists it as uncharacterized. The transcript is spliced from 2 exons. The record is from RefSeq and is a predicted model, not a curated record. Lineage: Eukaryota; Metazoa; Chordata; Mammalia; Rodentia; Caviidae.